Molecule: ribosomal RNA, 517 nt
Filed under: Starmerella bacillaris
Lineage: Eukaryota; Fungi; Ascomycota; Dipodascomycetes; Dipodascales; Trichomonascaceae
Description: partial large subunit ribosomal RNA
Rfam family: Eukaryotic large subunit ribosomal RNA
Source: RNAcentral
GCAUAUCAAUAAGCGGAGGAAAAGAAACCAACAGGGAUUGCCCUAGUAACGGCGAGUGAACAGGCAAGAGCUCAGAUUUGAAAGGCACUUUUGUGCCGUUGUAUUCUGAAGUUAGGGUCCUGAGAAACGAUGCUUAAGUCUUCUGGAAAGGAGCGCCAUGGAGGGUGAUAGCCCCGUCUAGCAUUGACCUCAUAUAGGAUCUUAACAUGGAGUCGAGUUGUUUGGGAAUGCAGCUCAAAUGGGUGGUAUGCUCCAUCUAAAGCUAAAUAUCUGCGAGAGACCGAUAGUAAACAAGUACUGUGAGGGAAAGAUGAAAAGAACUUUGAAAAGAGAGUGAAAAAGUACGUGAAAUUGUUGAAAUGGAAGGGUAGGCCGCUAACCAUGUAGAGCCGUGUUUGGGGGGAAGAUAAAUGCUGUAGAAUGUAGCUCCUCGGAGUAUUAUAGAUGCAGUUCAUAUUCCCACCCGAGCGCGAGGAUCUCAGGUUCUACUAAAUGGUGGUCUACCACCCGUCUUGAA